RNAcentral lists this ribosomal RNA (636 nucleotides) under Triticum aestivum (bread wheat). Its description in RNAcentral is "partial small subunit ribosomal RNA". Lineage: Eukaryota; Viridiplantae; Streptophyta; Magnoliopsida; Poales; Poaceae. The record is from RNAcentral.
AUGGCAGCCCGUGCCGGCGUCUUCUGCAAGGCCUCAAGGUUCCGUUGGCUAUGCUUGGUGCGCAGCGUGGUCGCCACAGCGGUCGCCGUGUUCGCCGGCGUCCUCGUUGUCUGGGCGGUGUUCCUGCUGUUCAAUCCCCUCAAGCUCCAACUCCGGAUCCCUAGCAGCUCCGUGGUGGUAAGAAGAGUCCCCGAAUCCGGUGACCGGUACCGUUUCACCUUCUUUCUCCAGGCUACCAACCUCAGAAAUCGCACCUCCAUCUACUACCACAACGUCACCAUCCGGCUCGCCGACAGCCAGGAGUACCUAUCCUUGCCACGGGAGAAUCGGACCUUCAUCGCUACGUUCAACCUGAGGGCUAAGAUAUUCUUGUCUCAAGGGAAGGAGGCCGAAUACUUCUUGACGGAGCCCGUAGGCAUGAAGUUGAACCUGUCGUACCUCCGGAAGCUCUUCCCCAACCAAACAGGCCACAACACCAUCGACGUGGCCAUGGAGGUGGAUGGCUUCCUCACCGACUACGGGCCGGGUGUGGCCCACCGCGCCACCUACAUCUGCAUCCCGCUCAAACUCAUGGGCAACUCCCCGCUGUCGUCGCUGUCCGACGAGAGCAACGCCUAUUGCGCGCCUACUUACUAA